Molecule: ribosomal RNA, 497 nt
Filed under: uncultured bacterium
Lineage: Bacteria
Description: partial 16S ribosomal RNA
Rfam family: Bacterial small subunit ribosomal RNA
Source: RNAcentral
GAUGAACGCUGGCGGCGUGCCUAAUACAUGCGAGUCGAGCGAACAGACGAGGAGCUUGCUCCUCUUACGUUAGCGGCGGACGGGUGAGUAACACGUGGAUAACCUACCUAUAAGACUGGGAUAACUUCGGGAAACCGGAGCUAAUACCGGAUAAUAUAUUGAACCGCAUGGUUCAAUAGUGAAAGACGGUUUUGCUGUCACUUAUAGAUUGAUCCGCGCCGCAUUAGCUAGUUGGUAAGGUAACGGCUUACCAAGGCAACGAUGCGUAGCCGACCUGAGAGGGUGAUCGGCCACACUGGAACUGAGACACGGUCCAGACUCCUACGGGAGGCAGCAGUAGGGAAUCUUCCGCAAUGGGCGAAAGCUUGACGGAGCAACGCCGCGUGAGUGAUGAAGGUCUUCGGAUCGUAAAACUCUGUUAUUAGGGAAGAACAAAUGUGUAAGUAACUAUGCACGUCUUGACGGUACCUAAUCAGAAAGCCACGGCUAACUACGUG